CCUACGGGUGGCAGCAGUGGGGAAUAUUGGACAAUGGGCGAAAGCCUGAUCCAGCCAUGCCGCGUGUGUGAAGAAGGCCUUCGGGUUGUAAAGCACUUUCAGUGGGGAAGAAAGCCUUGGGGCUAAUACCCUCGAGGAAGGACAUCACCCACAGAAGAAGCACCGGCUAACUCCGUGCCAGCAGCCGCGGUAAUACGGAGGGUGCGAGCGUUAAUCGGAAUUACUGGGCGUAAAGCGCGCGUAGGCGGUCUGAUAAGCCGGUUGUGAAAGCCCCGGGCUCAACCUGGGAACGGCAUCCGGAACUGUCAGGCUAGAGUGCAGGAGAGGAAGGUAGAAUUCCCGGUGUAGCGGUGAAAUGCGUAGAGAUCGGGAGGAAUACCAGUGGCGAAGGCGGCCUUCUGGACUGACACUGGCGCUGAGGUGCGAAAGCGUGGGUAGCAAACAGGAUUAGAUACCCUAGUAGUC
RNAcentral lists this ribosomal RNA (465 nucleotides) under Vreelandella stevensii. Its description in RNAcentral is "partial 16S ribosomal RNA". It matches the Rfam family "Bacterial small subunit ribosomal RNA", at positions 338 to 795 of the family's 1533-position model. Lineage: Bacteria; Pseudomonadati; Pseudomonadota; Gammaproteobacteria; Oceanospirillales; Halomonadaceae. The record is from RNAcentral.